This 313-nucleotide ribosomal RNA is filed under the name uncultured Rhodanobacter sp. RNAcentral's name for it is "bacterial SSU rRNA". It matches the Rfam family "Bacterial small subunit ribosomal RNA", at positions 8 to 320 of the family's 1533-position model. The record is from RNAcentral. Lineage: Bacteria; Pseudomonadati; Pseudomonadota; Gammaproteobacteria; Lysobacterales; Rhodanobacteraceae.
AGAGUUUGAUCCUGGCUCAGAUUGAACGCUAGCGGGAUGCUUUACACAUGCAAGUCGAACGGCAGCGCGGGUCUUCGGACCUGGCGGCGAGUGGCGAACGGGUGAGUAACAUUUCGGAACGUGCCCAGUAGCGGGGGAUAACUACGCGAAAGCGUGGCUAAUACCGCAUACGCCCUACGGGGGAAAGGGGGGGAUCGUUAANACCUCUCACUAUUGGAGCGGCCGAUAUCAUAUUAGCUAGUUGGUGAGGUAAAGGCUCACCAAGGCCGCGAUCUGUAGCUGGUUUGAGAGGACGACCAGCCACACUGGGACU